UACCAGCACCCCGAGUGGUCGGGACGAUUAUUGGGCCUAAAGCAUCCGUAGCCGGUCUUGCAAGUCUUCCGUUAAAUCCACCUGCUCAACGGAUGGGCUGCGGAGGAUACCGCAGAGCUAGGAGGCGGGAGAGGCAAACGGUACUCAGUGGGUAGGGGUAAAAUCCAUUGAUCUACUGAAGACCACCAGUGGCGAAGGCGGUUUGCCAGAACGCGCUCGACGGUGAGGGAUGAAGGCUGGGGGAGCAAACCGG
RNAcentral lists this ribosomal RNA (253 nucleotides) under uncultured bacterium. RNAcentral's name for it is "partial 16S ribosomal RNA". It matches the Rfam family "Archaeal small subunit ribosomal RNA", at positions 474 to 727 of the family's 1478-position model. The record is from RNAcentral.